CUAGACUCAUAGUGGGAAAAGACAAGAGAGGCUUUGGCUGGCUUUGGAUCCAGAAAACAGCUGCUGAUUAGAGUCUGCGUCUUCGGGCUGAAUUUAUUACAUAUUUUUCAGCAGCAGGGAUUCUAGGAGGAAGCUUCCGUUUGGGUUUCUUGCUCGUGGUUUAUUUUUAUUCAGAGGAAUAACAGAGGAAGGAUUUGUUCCGGCUGGAGCAUGCUCACAACCUGCAAGACCUCCCAUUAUUAAACUGCCUACUUUGGGCUUUAAUAUACAUGUGGUGCUAAUGAAAGAAUGCAAAUAGCACCGGCUGAGCCGAACAUUUCAUAAAGAAGGGAACAGCCACCAACCCCAAAGGCUCCGGGAUCUGCCCGCCGGCCCCCACCAAAGGUGGUUUAUUCUGUUCCACUUGGAGAUGGGGGAGCUCAGCUGCACGGAGGCUGCUGAACACAAAGAAUCCAGGAGAUGAAGCCUUAGCUUAGUCCAUCACUUUUCUCAUCUGAGUGUGUUCCUGGAGACAUUAAAAGUCAGCAAUUUUUAACCUGGGUGUUGGGUUGUUGCUUUGGGAUCCUGCUUGGAGCUCAGUGCUGGGAAGGAAAGGGAUUGGUUUUUGGUCAGUGAGUGAGCUCUGGGUGUGGAUCCCGGCAGAAAACUUCUCCUGGACCUUUCCUCAUCUUUAUUUCCCUCAAGUGAACGUCGUCUGGGCUCCUGGGGAGGAAACAGCCCCUGCAGCUCCACUGGGUGGGUUUGUUUUGGAGGAUGGCUCUGAGAAGUGUUGAAGGCUCCCACAGGAGCCUUCAAACCACAUCCACUGCCGGCCUUGGCUGCAUCCAAACUGACAAACAAAACAUGAGACAGAGAGAAGCUUUCACACCUUGUCUCCAGCCAGCCCCAACUGAGCAGGGAGCUCCACUCUUGGCUGUUCUGCACCCAAAACCACCACAGGACAGGGUUAAAGGAACCACUUUCCACCACUUCACUCCCCGUAGAACUUCAGGGAAAAAAACCCUGAAUCUCUCCAUGCAGUUUCCACACUUGGAAAAUUGAAUUAAUUAUGUUUGUGUGCAUUCAUGAAGCGUUUUG
This is a long non-coding RNA of Corapipo altera (White-ruffed manakin), 1077 nucleotides long. RefSeq lists it as uncharacterized. Lineage: Eukaryota; Metazoa; Chordata; Aves; Passeriformes; Pipridae. The record is from RefSeq and is a predicted model, not a curated record. The transcript is spliced from 3 exons.